AAGAUGCCAUUCAAGGUGGCAAAGACCUGCUAUGAGUAUAAAGAUUACGUGGGUGAGUCUUCCUUCUUGCUUUGCCUGUCAGAUUAACUCUGAUUAGAGUCUGAAGUGAAUCUGUUUCUGAUCUUUCUUCACUACAGAAUUACUGAGGGAGCUGCAUGAGAACAGGGAAGAGUACAUCAGAUGUUCGACAAAGGUAUUUGAAGAAGAUAAAUGCCACAAGAUGUACACACGACUAUUUGGCAAGGUGCUCAAGUCAAAAUGUAAGUAGUGUUUAAGUUAACCAUAGUGUUUAAAACUUUAUUAUGUUCAUGUAUUGAUCAAUAGA
This 325-nucleotide long non-coding RNA is filed under the name Astyanax mexicanus (Mexican tetra). Its description in RNAcentral is "lncRNA (ENSAMXG00005022967.1)". Lineage: Eukaryota; Metazoa; Chordata; Actinopteri; Characiformes; Acestrorhamphidae. The record is from RNAcentral.